Molecule: ribosomal RNA, 276 nt
Filed under: Klebsiella pneumoniae
Lineage: Bacteria; Pseudomonadati; Pseudomonadota; Gammaproteobacteria; Enterobacterales; Enterobacteriaceae
Also listed under: 2 other names
Description: partial 23S ribosomal RNA
Rfam family: Bacterial large subunit ribosomal RNA
Source: RNAcentral
UGGAGAAUUGAGGGGGGCUGCUCCUAGUACGAGAGGACCGGAGUGGACGCAUCACUGGUGUUCGGGUUGUCAUGCCAAUGGCACUGCCCGGUAGCUAAAUGCGGAAGAGAUAAGUGCUGAAAGCAUCUAAGCACGAAACUUGCCCCGAGAUGAGUUCUCCCUGAGACUUUAAGUCUCCUGAAGGAACGUUAAAGACGAUGACGUUGAUAGGCCGGGUGUGUAAGCGCAGCGAUGCGUUGAGCUAACCGGUACUAAUGAACCGUGAGGCUUAACCUU